RNAcentral lists this ribosomal RNA (253 nucleotides) under uncultured bacterium. RNAcentral's name for it is "partial 16S ribosomal RNA". It matches the Rfam family "Bacterial small subunit ribosomal RNA", at positions 524 to 776 of the family's 1533-position model. The record is from RNAcentral.
UACGUAGGGUGCAAGCGUUGUCCGGAAUUAUUGGGCGUAAAGAGCUCGUAGGCGGCUUGUCGCGUCUGCUGUGAAAACCCGAGGCUCAACCUCGGGCCUGCAGUGGGUACGGGCAAGCUAGAGUGCGGUAGGGGAGAUUGGAAUUCCUGGUGUAGCGGUGGAAUGCGUAGAUAUCGGGAGGAACACCAGUGGCGAAGGCGGUUGGCUGGAGCUUUGCUGACGCUGAUGCGCGAAAGCGUGGGGAGCGAUCCGG